RNAcentral lists this unclassified non-coding RNA (523 nucleotides) under Hevea brasiliensis (rubber tree). Lineage: Eukaryota; Viridiplantae; Streptophyta; Magnoliopsida; Malpighiales; Euphorbiaceae. The record is from RNAcentral.
CCACAACGCAAAAGCAAGAGUAUGGAUGCCCUCAAGAAAUGUGAUCACGACCCUCAUGUUAUUUCUGCUGUGGCCAAGCUGUUCUGGCAUGAUAGGAAGGUUGAUAAAGCUAGAACGUGGCUGAACAGGGCAGUUACUCUUGCUCCAGAUGUUGGGGAUUUCUGGGCUUUAUAUUACAAAUUUGAACUUCAACAUGGGACUGAGGAAAAUCAGAAGGAUGUUUUAAAGAGGUGCAUUGCUGCAGAACCAAGGCAUGGUGAGAAAUGGCAGGCAAUUUCAAAGGCUGUGGAGAAUGCUCACCAGCAAACUGAAGCCAUUCUGAAGAAAGUUGUGGUUGCACUUGGGAAGGAAGAGAAUGCCGCUGAAAGACAUUAGUUGAUUGUAAGCUUGUAGUUGGCUGCUACUGCCCCUGUUUGGUUGCAGGAUAGAUGAUUAGUGGCUUAGCACUCUUAAUGCCAAUUAGAAAUUAUAUUUGCCAUGUACUUCAUUGUGAGUUUUCCCUAUAUAAUAUUUUACCUAUUUA